GCGGCGUUUCACACGGCAGGCGUCGCCCACGGGAUUCGGACAUGGCCCGCUCUCACGUGAUGCUGUGGACGGGCGCGCUGGUGGCUGCCUGGCUGGCGGUCGGCGCGGCGGCCAACUGCGCCACCGGCUGCACCCAGACGACGUUCCGCGCCUACACCGGCUGCCUGCAGAACUGCGGCGCCGACGUCGCCGUCACCAAUUGCGACUGCUCCUCCACGGCCUGUACCCGUUGCCCCGGCGACAACACCUGCUGCCAGACCUGCUGCAACACACAACAGUGUGUCUGCUCUAAUGUGAACUGCCAACAGCCCUGCAACAACGCAUGCUGUUCGAUGUGCUGUCGGCCGCCGGUGGAACAACCUCAGUGUGGAAACUGUGCGCCUGGUUGCCUACAACGGGGGUCGGGCUGCGCGCCUUGCUGCCAGCCGCCGCAGCCGCCGCAGCCGCCGCAGCCGCCGCAGCAGACGUCGUCGACAACGACGACGACGACGUCGCGGCCGCCGCAAUCUACAAAUUCGCCGAACCCAGAUCCGAACCCUCCUCCGCAACCACCAGGGCAACCGUGCGUGAACGUGUCGGUACUACCGGCGGCACCGGCCGUCGUGAACGUCUCGCUGGGGAACAUCACCGUGAACCCAGCAAACAUCACUGUGCUGCCCGCCAACAUCAGCUUCACGCCGCACAUCACCGUCGUCGUGAACACGUCACCCGUCUCACAGGUGUAUCCGUACCAGUACGCGGGCAACGUGACGCUGAACCUGGAGCAGCAGCAGGUGCUCAACUGCACGGGCGGCCGGCGCCGCUGCUGCCGCGUCGUCAUGCAACCGCCCUACCCCUGCCCGCCAGGCCCGGCCUGCCCGCCGAUCGUGAGGUUUGGAUGCGGCCAACAGUGCUUGUCCAUCGUCCAACAGAACAUGUACUACCUCCAGGCGCCACGGCAGCCCUACUUCUACACGGACUACUACUACCGACCAUGGUACAUGUAUGUACCACAGACGCCACAGUACUUCUGCAGUUCCGGCUGUAUACCCCUACCUACCUGGCCGUUCGCGCGCUGCUUCGACACUAUGCCUUAUAGUGCAGGCGGAAUGCCCUCUCUUCCACAGUACGCUUCUUUUCAACCGGGACCUGACGCAGCAGCUGCCACGGCUCCUGCAGCAGUCACCAACACGCAAGGCUAGCACCUGAAAAGUACGCCGCAGUUCGGAGCUUGCUGGACGUGAUCUUAGCAGACACUCACUUCAGAAACCAGCAACAGCAUGCACUUUGAAAAGGACGCAAAUUUUGAGGCAGUAGCUCUGAAGUAAUGCAACAGUGACUUGUGGUCGACACACUAUCAUUUUCACAAUGUGUUUUUAAAACCUACUGACUUGUUACUUUUAUGAAGACGCGGAGAAAAAUAUUGUCAUGAAAAAAAAGACAUUCUAUCUCGAGGCUAUCUAUCACAUUUUCGUUUUAGGAAGGUUAUUGAUUUUACGCUUCCGACUAAACAUUAAUAAAAACAAUCAUGGGAAGAAAAAAGAAGUUUGAAAGCCCACAUCUAAUGAAAGCAAAUAUAACACCUCCUUUCUUUAUAAAAAUGAUGAAAAAUUAUGCAAUUAUUUUAAACAGUACUCGAAACAGAGGUGAACUUAAUAUCCAUCUACGACGAACAUGAACUUUAUUCGUCCCGCAGGCGAAAUACUACCACGACACAAAAGGAACGAGUCUGAAAUUAUUACUAUUGAUGUAUCUGGCGUGGCCUAAAAAUUAUGCUCGAGUGGUAUUAAUUUGCGAUCCUGUAUUUGGUCUCUACGCUGGGACAAUUUGUCUCAAAAUCUAUAAACUGCAUCACGGAAAUGACACAUAGGAAUUUUUUAAGGAGAAUAGAAUGAACCGUGUGAAUGCAAAUAAAUCUAACUCUGAAGUCGACUGCAAGUGAAGUGAUGCAUUUGGAAGGUUAACAAAUUCGUAAUACCAGACUCGGUCGUCAUAAUAUUCACAUUUCUUCCACAGGAGCGGAAAAGUGUAGUACACUGCUCGUUUACUGCCACUAAGCUGACAGUUUCUGAUAAGACUCGUCAUAGUAUAAGACAUAGUCAAGUGGAGAAACAGAAAACCACUAAUAUUCUGCAACGAACACAUUUUACGAUUUUUGAAGAAAUUCGUCUUUUCCUGUAAAUGUAAUUUAGUCUUCAGUGUUGCUAAACAGUUGUUAUUGUUAGACGUGUGCAUAGUCUUUUUCUGUAAGUUAACGAAACUUUCUUUUUGUAAUAUAUUAAGGAUUUAGGUAUGCAAAAGUGUUAAAAUAUAUCUUUUCUUCAUAUAUGAAAGCAACACAAAGUUAAGCGGCAUAAAUGAUGAAGAUUAGACUGCAUCUUAUGUACAGUACCACGUUUCUCUCUGGACAUGUUUAAUCCACUACAUGAUAUGAGUAACGUGCUUGUCUUUGGAUGGAUACUGAUACCAAACACCUGCAGGUGUAGAAAUUAAUGAAAAUUCCUUGAAAAAAUUGGUAUUUCAACAGACGAAGAGUAGUUACAAAGAGUAACUGUCUAAAAAAUUAAUCAUAUGUUUCAACUAUGAAAAUAUUUUUAAUAAAUACACACAAAUAAAGUUUGGGAGUAAAACGGUUAAAAAAAAA
Schistocerca gregaria is the source of this 2623-nucleotide RNA transcript. RefSeq lists it as uncharacterized. The record is from RefSeq and is a predicted model, not a curated record. NCBI's taxonomy places the organism in Eukaryota, Metazoa, Arthropoda, Insecta, Orthoptera, Acrididae. The transcript has 8 exons.